AAAUGAGGAUCGAUGCUAAGUUGUUGAUGGCAGUUUCUUUUCCCGGAGAUGGUGGGAGUGGAACCCUGUCGCCUUCUGACACACAAUAUAUUAGCUUCAUCGUCCAUCUUCGAACUAAAGGUUGGUCGCUAUCGAGGCAAGAGAAAAGGUGAGUGACAGCAUCCACAUUAUCCCGAAUAAGAUUUUGAGCCAUCUUUGACUUAUUGCUAAGCUCAAUCAGCAGGUGUAAGAACUGAACCUUGAAUUGAGGCUCAGAUUUUUCUACGAGCUGCAAAAAGAGACCGACACUGUGCUCGGAUUGCAGCUCCUGCAGCCCCUGAUAUAUCUGAAAUUGCGGUUGCUUACAAGCUUGUACCAGCAGAGCUAGAAU
RNAcentral lists this long non-coding RNA (370 nucleotides) under Gossypium barbadense (sea-island cotton). RNAcentral describes it as "long non-coding RNA (GBAR_LNC000033)". Lineage: Eukaryota; Viridiplantae; Streptophyta; Magnoliopsida; Malvales; Malvaceae. The record is from RNAcentral.